UACGUAGGGUGCAAGCGUUAAUCGGAAUUACUGGGCGUAAAGCGUGCGCAGGCGGUUCGCUAAGACAGAUGUGAAAUCCCCGGGCUUAACCUGGGAACUGCAUUUGUGACUGGCGGGCUAGAGUAUGGCAGAGGGGGGUAGAAUUCCACGCGUAGCAGUGAAAUGCGUAGAGAUGUGGAGGAACACCGGUGGCGAAGGCGGCCCACUGGGCAGUCACUGACGCUGAGGCGCGAACGCUCGGGGAGCGAACGGG
RNAcentral lists this ribosomal RNA (253 nucleotides) under uncultured bacterium. RNAcentral describes it as "partial 16S ribosomal RNA". It matches the Rfam family "Bacterial small subunit ribosomal RNA", at positions 524 to 776 of the family's 1533-position model. The record is from RNAcentral.